AUAGUACUCCCUCCCUCCCAAAAUUCUUGUCUUAGAUUUGUGUAGAUACAGAUGUAUCUAACGCUAAAACGUAACUAGAUACAUCCAUUAAGACAAAAAUUUUGGGAUGGAGGGAGUACUAC
Non-coding RNA from Triticum aestivum (bread wheat), 122 nucleotides. The record is from Rfam. Lineage: Eukaryota; Viridiplantae; Streptophyta; Magnoliopsida; Poales; Poaceae.